Molecule: long non-coding RNA, 517 nt
Organism: Pipra filicauda (Wire-tailed manakin)
Lineage: Eukaryota; Metazoa; Chordata; Aves; Passeriformes; Pipridae
Exons: 3
Source: RefSeq, a predicted model, not a curated record
AAGCCCCUUGCAGCCGGCAGGUCCCUCCCCAUCCCGCCGCACAUCCAUGCAGCAAACUGGAGUUCCCAGCUCCAGCGUCUGCCGCCGUGUACAGAAAACCUCAUUUGCUUCAAUUGAAGCCUCCCCGUUGAUUUAAUUAAUGCAAAUCGAGGCGUGUUAAACCUCCUUGAAAGCAGCAAGGCCUGGAUUCACAACAGGCUGUGAGGGUCCAGCACCCUGCCAGCUGAGCCCAGUGUGUGCAGUGAGAACACACAAACCCUGGUAGAGGAGCCCAGUGCCCACAACCGGCCCCGAAGAACAGCGUGGGCAGAGGUGCAGUGCUGACCCAAACCCUGGGCAGCACCUUCUCGAGCAGAAUUCCUUUGAUUGGCGCAGUCACCAUCUGUUCUGAGCACUUUUACUUGUCUCAUUUGAAGGAGGAAUUAACAGAUUCGAGCGAAUUUCUCAAGAAACAACCUGGCACUGGGAGCCAGGCACCCUGUCUGAUUUGAAAAAAAUUAAAUUACUUCCAACAGCA